GGAGGCAGCAGUAGGGAAUAUUGCACAAUGGAGGAAACUCUGAUGCAGCGACGCCGCGUGAGUGAUGAAGGCCUUCGGGUCGUAAAGCUCUGUCGCAGGGGAAUAACACAAUGAAGGUACCCUGUAAGAAAGGAUCGGCUAACUUCGUGCCAGCAGCCGCGGUAAGACGAGGGAUCCUAGC
RNAcentral lists this ribosomal RNA (181 nucleotides) under uncultured Bdellovibrio sp. RNAcentral's name for it is "partial 16S ribosomal RNA". It matches the Rfam family "Bacterial small subunit ribosomal RNA", at positions 344 to 539 of the family's 1533-position model. The record is from RNAcentral. Lineage: Bacteria; Pseudomonadati; Bdellovibrionota; Bdellovibrionia; Bdellovibrionales; Pseudobdellovibrionaceae.